CCUACGGGUGGCAGCAGUGGGGAAUAUUGCGCAAUGGGGGCAACCCUGACGCAGCAACGCCGCGUGAUUGAAGAAGGCCUUCGGGUUGUAAAGAUCUUUAAUCGGGGACGAAUUUUGACGGUACCCGACGAAUAAGCUCCGUCUAACUACGUGCCAGCAGCCGCGGUAAUACGUAGGGAGCAAGCGUUAUCCGGAGUUACUGGGUGUAAAGGGCGUUUAGGCGGGCAUGCAAGCCCGAAGUGAAAUCUUGGGGCUUAACCCCCAUACUGCUUUUGGAACUGCGUGUCUUGAGUGAGGGAGAGGCAGGCGGAAUGCCUAGUGUAGCGGUGAAAUGCGUAGAUAUUGGGAGGAACACCAGUGGCGAAGGCGGCAUGCUGGACAUUAACUGACGCUGAGGCGCGAAAGCGUGGGGAGCAAACAGGAUUAGAUACCCCGGUAGUC
Molecule: ribosomal RNA, 441 nt
Filed under: uncultured bacterium
Lineage: Bacteria
Description: partial 16S ribosomal RNA
Rfam family: Bacterial small subunit ribosomal RNA
Source: RNAcentral